GAACCAACAGGGAUUGCCUCAGUAACGGCGAGUGAAGCGGCAACAGCUCAAAUUUGAAAUCUGGCCCCUUCGGGGUCCGAGUUGUAAUUUGUAGAAGAUGCUUCGGGUGCGGCCCCGGUCUAAGUUCCUUGGAACAGGACGUCACAGAGGGUGAGAAUCCCGUACGUGCCCGGUGGUCGCCCCCAUGUGAAGCUCUUUCGACGAGUCGAGUUGUUUGGGAAUGCAGCUCAAAAUGGGUGGUAAAUUUCAUCUAAAGCUAAAUAUUGGCCAGAGACCGAUAGCGCACAAGUAGAGUGAUCGAAAGAUGAAAAGCACUUUGGAAAGAGAGUUAAACAGUACGUGAAAUUGUUGAAAGGGAAGCGCUUGCAACCAGACUUGCGCGUGGCCGAUCAUCCGGUGUUCGCACCGGUGCACUCGACCGCGCGCAGGCCAGCAUCGGUUUGGGUGGCUGGAUAAAGGCCUCGGGAAUGUGGCUCCCCUCGGGGAGUGUUAUAGCCCGAGGUGCAAUGCAGCCUACCCGGACCGAGGACCGCGCUUCGGCUAGGAUGCUGGCGUAAUGGUUGUAAGCGACCCGUCUU
Molecule: ribosomal RNA, 578 nt
Filed under: Oidiodendron muniellense
Lineage: Eukaryota; Fungi; Ascomycota; Leotiomycetes; Myxotrichaceae
Description: partial 28S ribosomal RNA
Rfam family: Eukaryotic large subunit ribosomal RNA
Source: RNAcentral